This 353-nucleotide unclassified non-coding RNA is filed under the name soil metagenome. Its description in RNAcentral is "partial contains 5.8S ribosomal RNA, internal transcribed spacer 2, and large subunit ribosomal RNA". The stretch from base 1 to 120 matches the Rfam family "5.8S ribosomal RNA", at positions 35 to 154 of the family's 154-position model. The record is from RNAcentral.
GAUGAAGAACGUAGCGAAAUGCGAUAAGUAAUGUGAAUUGCAGAAUUCAGUGAAUCAUCGAAUCUUUGAACGCACAUUGCGCCCGCCAGUAUUCUGGCGGGCAUGCCUGUUCGAGAGUCAUUACAACCCUCAGGCCCCCGGGCCUGGCGUUGGGGAUCGGCGGAAGCCCCCUGCGGGCACAACGCCGUCCCCCAAAUACAGUGGCGGUCCCGCCGCAGCUUCCAUUGCGUAGUAGCUAACACCUCGCAACUGGAGAGCGGCGCGGCCACGCCGUAAAACACCCAACUUCUGAAUGUUGACCUCGAAUCAGGUAGGAAUACCCGCUGAACUUAAGCAUAUCAAUAAGCGGAGGA